Molecule: non-coding RNA, 775 nt
Organism: Pantherophis guttatus
Lineage: Eukaryota; Metazoa; Chordata; Lepidosauria; Squamata; Colubridae
Source: RefSeq, a predicted model, not a curated record
GGACCCACAUGGGAAACUGUUUUUGCCAGCGAUAAACCAGCUCCUCUCCUGUGGAAACCAUCAUCCCAGGAUCGAUGUACAUAGCAAAAUUAAAUUAACAUGAAUUGUAGCCUUUGAGUCCCCCACAGCUCUUGGGACCCCACCCUCAAAUAACCUCCCUCCAAGUGCCAGAGAGAGUGCAGGGGUGGUGGUCUUUUUCCUCUCAAUCCACUUGAGGAAAUUCUGGGAAGGAUGUCUGGUUAGUAAUAUGUGAGUGAUGGGCCAAGGGAAGGAGAAUUACUCUCCAAGAACCUUGGCAACAGGGUGAGGCAUUUCUUUAUUUUAUAGCUCAAUGAAGUCCAGCAGGCUUUCCUGAUGUUCCCAGGGAAAUCUGGCAGGCUGGAAUGACCUACGAAAACAUCAAUGAAGGAGACCUAGAAAUAGAGGAGUUGUGACCUCUACCCUCCGCCGUUGAUCCACCUAUGAAGAAAAGCUACCCUAUCUCAGGAAAUGUUUAGGUUUAUGUACCUAUAUGUAUAUGUUUAUGUAUUUAUUUUGCUUGUCAUAUUCUGUUUUUAAUUGUAUAAUUGAUUUUAUGGUUGUUUUCCACCCAUUUUCACUUGUUUGAUAUGGGCCCCUAUACAAAUUGGAUAAAUAAAUAAGUAUAAUUUGAAUAUUUUUCCUUCACUUGUUUUCCUAACGAACCUGUGUACUUUUCUUUAUUUCAUUAUUUUUUUAAAUCUGUAUUUGUUUGGUUUUCUGAUUUUCAGAUAUAAAUAAAGGUACAAUAUAAGUC